Molecule: ribosomal RNA, 523 nt
Filed under: Cryptosporidium muris
Lineage: Eukaryota; Apicomplexa; Conoidasida; Eucoccidiorida; Cryptosporidiidae
Description: SSU rRNA
Rfam family: Eukaryotic small subunit ribosomal RNA
Source: RNAcentral
AGGGCCUAACGGUCUUGUAAUUGGAAUGAGUGAAGUAUAAACCCCUUUACGAGUAUCAAUUGGAGGGCAAGUCUGGUGCCAGCAGCCGCGGUAAUUCCAGCUCCAAUAGCGUAUAUUAAAGUUGUUGCAGUUAAAAAGCUCGUAGUUGGAUUUCUGUUGUAUAAUCUAUAAUAUUACUAAGGUAUAUAUUAUAUUAUCAACAUCCUUCCUAUUAUAUUUCUAAAUAUAUAGGAAACUUUACUUUGAGAAAAUUAGAGUGCUUAAAGCAGGCAACUGCCUUGAAUACUCCAGCAUGGAAUAAUAAGUAAGGACUUUUGUCUUUCUUAUUGGUUCUAGGACAAAAGUAAUGGUUAAUAGGGACAGUUGGGGGCAUUCGUAUUUAACAGCCAGAGGUGAAAUUCUUAGAUUUGUUAAAGACGAACUACUGCGAAAGCAUUUGCCAAGGAUGUUUUCAUUAAUCAAGAACGAAAGUUAGGGGAUCGAAGACGAUCAGAUACCGUCGUAGUCUUAACCAUAAACUAUG